Molecule: ribosomal RNA, 1983 nt
Filed under: Triticum aestivum (bread wheat)
Lineage: Eukaryota; Viridiplantae; Streptophyta; Magnoliopsida; Poales; Poaceae
Description: partial small subunit ribosomal RNA
Source: RNAcentral
AUGGGGGAGUACGCGGCGGCCAAGACGGCGGUGUGGUGGGACAUCGAGAAUUGCGCCGUCCCCCGCAACUGCGACCCCCACCUCAUCGUCCAGAACAUGAGCUCCGCCCUCGCCACCGCCGGCUACGUCGGCCCCAUCUCCGUCUCCGCCUACGGCGACACCAGCGGCAUCGCCCACAACGUCCAGCACGCCCUCUCCAGCACCGGCGUCUCCCUCCACCACGUCCCCGCCGGCAUUAAAGAUGCAAGUGAUAAGAAGAUCUUGGUUGACAUGCUGUUCUGGGCUAUUGACAACCCUCCGCCAGCGAAUUAUUUGCUAAUCUCUGGUGAUCGGGAUUUCUCUAAUGCCCUUCAUAAGCUUAAGAUGAGGCGGUACAAUAUUCUUUUAGCACAACCUCCAAAUGUGUCUCAAACGCUUACUGCUGCGGCAAAGAGUGUUUGGCUCUGGAGAAGCCUUGUGGCUGGAGAACCACCAUUAGCAGUGUCACCAUACAUAAGCAGCGCAUCAAGUGGCAAUAAGGAUAAUUUGGAUACGUCAAGGAACACUGUUCCAAAUUCUUCAGCCGCGGCUCGAGAUACUAACCCUCAAGUGCAGAAUCCUUCUCAGCAUGAUUAUCAAAAUGGUGGUAAUGGUAAGGUAGAUAAGCAACCCAAAGUGAAGCAACCUCGGAAAAAUCAGACAGAUAAUGCAUCUAAACCAGCAGGCAAAAAGGAAAACUCAGUUGAUGGAGUCGCUGAUAAUUCCAAAGGAAGCACUGCUAGCCAACCAAGUCAGCCUUCUACACCAUCAUCAAGUUCUUCAUCAAGUCCUGAACCCCAGAGUAGGGCAAAGGCGAACCAGACAAGUAUACCUAAAAACCCACCCCUUUUCCUGCCUAAAAAGCCUGCAAAACCCACUAAUUCCCAUCAAAAGAGUGUUCCUCAUGACUAUUUUGGUAGUAAGAAGUCUGGUGUGUCAACUGAAUCUGCACCGAAAAAUGGUGCUCCUGAUUCUGGCCAUGGUAGUGGCCAUAAUCAUCCAAAACACCAUAACCAAUCCUCUCAGCCGCCAAAACCACAUAAUCCAGUGACUCCUCGUCCUCACAAUGGACCUGGUAAUUUUCACACAUCAAAUUUACAUAGAAGUAGUUCAUGUCCACCACAAGCUCCACAAGCUGGGCAUACUGGUGUUCCCACUGCACCACUGCAGUCCUGGCCAAGUGCUCCUCCUCCCCCCUAUCAUGUCCCGCCAGUUAAUUAUCCUGAUAUGAGUCGGCUGAAUAUUUCUGGAUACCCCAUAGGGGCUCAUGACAACCAAGGUUCAAACGUUAGCUACCAUCCAAACUAUUCUGGUGCUGUUCAGCCUCCUUACAAUAAUUAUAGUUACAGACAUCCAACUCCACCUAAUAUAUCCAGCAACAUGCAGAAUGCUGGACAAUGGGGUGCAAACACUGGAUGUCCGCAGCCAUCUUCUGACUCUCAAAUUCUUAUAAGAAAUAUCUUAAGUGCUUUGGAAGUACUGAAGACUGAGAAGCUUGCACCAACCGAACAGCAUAUAUCAGAUUGCGUACGUUAUGGAGGUGCUAAUCUACCACAAUUUGAUGUUAAGAAGGCUCUUGAAGUUGCUAUUCAGCAUCAAGCUAUCGUAACGAAAAAGUUAGGACUUGUGUCAUUCUUUCUGGGAAAAGAUGAAAAUCUCUGGAAAUGCGUGAAUAUAAUGGAUAACAAUGCUAGGCACUCAAAAGAGACUCUAGAUACUGUUCAUAGGUACAUAUCUACUGCCCCUGGAUGUUCUGCGAUAAAGAACUCUCAAUCAAGGUAUCACGCUGCAACUCUGUUGAAGAAAACAUGCUUGAAACGUCUUUCCCUUGGCGAAGUUCUUCAGGUUUUGUAUAUCGCAACCGAUAAAAUGAAGUGGUUUGUUCCUCACUCUUCAGGCUGGCAGCCUCUCUCAUGGAACGUGAUAGUGGCUGAUACUGCUCCAGAUGCUAGUGGAAAAUCCUAG